AUUGAACGCUGGCGGCAUGCCUUACACAUGCAAGUCGAACGGCAGCACGGGAGCAAUCCUGGUGGCGAGUGGCGAACGGGUGAGUAAUAUAUCGGAACGUGCCCAGUCGUGGGGGAUAACGUAGCGAAAGCUACGCUAAUACCGCAUACGAUCUAUGGAUGAAAGCGGGGGAUCGCAAGACCUCGCGCGAUUGGAGCGGCCGAUAUCAGAUUAGGUAGUUGGUGAGGUAAAGGCUCACCAAGCCGACGAUCUGUAGCUGGUCUGAGAGGACGACAAGCCACACUGGGACUGAGACACGGCCCAGACUCCUACGGGAAGCAGCAGUGGGUAAUUCAGGACAAUGGGCGCAAGCAUGAACCAGCAAUGCCGCGUGCAGGAUGAAGGCCUUCGGGUUGUAAACUGCUUUUGUACGGAACGAAAAGGCGAGCUCUAAUACAGUUUGCUAAUGACGGUACCGUAAGAAUAAGCACCGGCUAACUACGUGCCAGCCGCCGCCGUAA
This 500-nucleotide ribosomal RNA is filed under the name uncultured bacterium. RNAcentral's name for it is "partial 16S ribosomal RNA". It matches the Rfam family "Bacterial small subunit ribosomal RNA", at positions 30 to 523 of the family's 1533-position model. The record is from RNAcentral.